UACGAAGGGGACUAGCGUUGUUCGGAAUCACUGGGCGUAAAGCGCACGUAGGCGGAUAUGUCAGUCAGGGGUGAAAUCCCGGGGCUCAACCUCGGAACUGCCUUUGAUACAGCAUGUCUUGAGUCCGAUAGAGGUGGGUGGAAUUCCUAGUGUAGAGGUGAAAUUCGUAGAUAUUAGGAAGAACACCGGUGGCGAAGGCGGCCCACUGGAUCGGUACUGACGCUGAGGUGCGAAAGCGUGGGGAGCAAACAGG
This 253-nucleotide ribosomal RNA is filed under the name uncultured bacterium. RNAcentral describes it as "partial 16S ribosomal RNA". It matches the Rfam family "Bacterial small subunit ribosomal RNA", at positions 524 to 776 of the family's 1533-position model. The record is from RNAcentral.